UCCCACGCCAGCCCCUCCCUCCCACUCUCUCUCUCUCUAGUCUCUAGAACCUCCUCGAUUUAUUCCGGAUUAGGGCUUUUUCUCUUGAUCUGCAGUGGUGGAAUAUCGGCCAAGUUCGUUCUUCUCCGGCGAGGUGUUGAAUAAUUUGCGCUUUGUUUGGCUGCUGGGAAACGUCUGGAAAGGGGAAAGAAAUCACUUGGUUUUGUUUUUUUGUCAGUUGAUGUGCCGACUCUGAUAGGACUGUUUUGCUUACUCGAGUGUGCUAUUUGAUUUUUGAAAAGUUUUAAUGACCAUAGAAGAGAUCAGGUCCUUUGCUUUUUUGGAGAAAGAACUCGGUUCUGAGUUUUCUAUUAAUUGGGAAUGUGGGGGACUGAAAACUUCGAAGAACUGAGCUCGAUUGACUAUUUGGUUUACUUGUGCGUGCUAUCUGAUUUUUGAGCAAUUUCAUAUCCACGUAUCUUCCCUGUUUCCUCAGCUUCCAAUCGAGUUUGUCGGGGAAGAAGGAUUAAGAGUUAGGGUGUUUGAAUUGAUUAUUGAAGAAGAGAUUAUCACUGUUGAUUUCUAAUUAUUUUAGUUUCCUUGUUUCUAAUACGGGUUUGACGAGUGGAGGCAAGAAGGGAUUCGCGGUUUAAAUAUGACAUCCGACCUAGCAAGCGCAUAUGCUCUCAGCGCUGGAUGAAGUGGAGUGCAGUAAUGUCUGACCUGUGUAUCUUUGAGCUUGGAGAUAUUGUUUGGGAUGAAUUUGGUCAAACUGAUGACCAUAUAGUACCUCAACCUGGUAACAAGCAUGGGAUUGACCCUGUGUUUCAGAGUGGUAGCUGUAAGAAACCUCGACAUGAAGUAAUUGGUGGUUCAAGUAAUUCAAGUGAGUGUUAUACUGCUAAUUAUGUCAGUCACGGUAGGGAAGGUGGACUUAAAGCUCUGAAGAACACAAGGGAUACGAUGAUGGAAAAGGAUCCAUGGUCUUACACACCCGAAGGUGUGGUCAAUGCUUCACAUGAUGGUCACACAAACAAAGAAACAACCAGCUUAUCAUCUGAUAAUACAAGGACGCCCAGCCAUUACCUAAAAAGUAGUGACAUAGAUGCAAUCAAUACAGAUCUUGGUGCUGAAGAUCCUGUUGAAGGAAGGUGUGCUGAUAUUGAUAAUGACUCAUAUUGUUAUCCUCUUGGUGAAAUUUCUCAGUCAGGAAAUGAACUCAGUUUUUUACAUAAUGAUUAUGAGGACAAAGAGCCUAAUGAUCUCCUAUAUUAUGAGUGGCCUGAUAUUGAAAACUUUGAGGAUGUUGACAAGAUAUUUAGAAGUUGUGAUUCAACAUUUGGGCUCGGAAGUGUUGCUAAUGAAGAUGAGUUGAGUUGGUUUUCACCAUCACAUACUAUUGAAGGAUCUGAAGAUGUAUUGAAGUCAGACUUCAAGUUCUGUUUCCCCCAGUCAAGUCCACUUAAAAGUAUGCUAGACCAACAUGAACAUGGUAAACUAAAUGAUGGAAGUUUUUCAAACAAUGGUUCUAAUGUGGACAGUACAUCUGUUAGCUACAAAUCUCGUUUUCAGGCAUCGGAAUGUGGUGAGCCUGAUGCUAUUGGUCACUUGACUUUGAUGAAUGAGUCUGAUGCUCUCUCUCAAAGCAAGGAUCAUUUUGCACCUAAAGGGCAGGGAGUUGAUGUUAAAGGUGCCUUCUCAACUGUCAAGCAGUCUAAAAAUGAGAAGAGUGAGAUGAUCAAAUUUCAGAAAGAAAAGCACUACAUCCCGUCAGAAGGAAAAAGAAAAGAAAGAUGCUUUGAAAAUGGUGGUUCCUUUCACCAUAGUAGCCAACCGAGACUAAAAGAGAUAAAGUCUCCUUCUGCAGACUCAUCUCAUCAAGCUUACACUUCUUCGAAUGUUCAGAAACAAAAGAAAAACAUAGUACCAGAUUCGUUUGGUUACAUGCAGACCCAUAUUCCAUACAUGAAUUUGGAUUAUGGUCAUCCUUCAGAUCAAAUUCCUGUCAGCUCAACGCCAUCUACUAUCAAGUCCGAGAGUAAUGGGAUCACGUCUCUUUCUCCAAAGGAGUCUUCUGAUGCAUCAAAUCAGGUUAAAUCCACAGAGAGCUCUCGUGAUUGUUCAUUUGGGGCUCCCAUCGUAACAGUGGAUGACAAAAGGGAUAAGCUACAGCACCGACAAACACUUUGUCCCACAUAUAUGAACAAUCUUAAACACGGGGAUUUGGUUCAAACAACAGCAGGCAAUUCACUUUCAGUCCAAAUGAAAACCCACUGUACUCAACCCGAAGUCCAAAAUCAAAGUGAAGGUGAAGAAUUUAGCAUAAGAAUUCCCGUAGAUUUAGAUUCUUCAAAUGUACAGGAAAGCUCUUGCAUGAGUACUGGGUUGGAUGAGAUCUCACUGGAUGCAUCUAGUUUUUGCCAGCUUCAACAAGUCAUGGAACAGCUGGACAUAAGGACAAAGGUAUGCAUAAGGGAUAGUCUGUAUCGCUUGGCUAGGAGUGCUGAGCAAAGACAUCACUAUGCAAACUUGAACAGUGGCAGCAUAGAUGACAGAGACAGUGGAGGAGCAUUAACAAAUGAAGGAACAAACAAGUCCAUUGGAUUUAUGGAUAUGGAAACUGAUACAAAUCCUAUAGAUCGAUCUGUGGCGCACUUGCUGUUUCACCGGCCUUCAGACUCAUCUUCAAUACCAGCUCAUGAUGGGUUGUCUCUCAAGUCAUGUAAUAUGAUUCAUGGGUCUGCCAAUGUUCCACCUGUGAUGGUUGAGAAACUAGUUUGUCAGGAAGAUGCUGCCAGUGAAGCAGACAAAAAAGUGACAGAUCAAUGAUUAUGACUUAUGAAACCAUUGGCUUCAGCACGUUGACAAAUGAAAUGUGUAUAUUAGAUUUCUAUGCAUGGUCUUUGUAUGAUACAUCAGGGAGGUUCCCAUGGAAAUGCCAGGAAAUCAUAUUUGUUUUGGAGUUGUAAAAGUGCGAGGGACAUGACCAGUAUGCUACCAACGAACUCGUCGUCCUUCUCUGAUUUCAUUUUCAUGUUUUCUUACCCGGACAAUGCAUGCUAUAUAUAUGGUGAUAGCAGGAGGCCAAGCAUUUUUAACUUUACACGGUCAGCUGUGUCGUUAAACCUGCCAUUGCUUGACAUCCUGGCCAUGGUCGCGAUGUGUUUUUAUGGUCGUAGAGAGAGUUUGGUACCAUGUGAACUCCAUGUUUGCGUUUUGACAUGAAAUUCCUUGAGAAUUUAACCACAUCCAUGGCUAGUUUAUGGCUCUGAUCAGCCCCUCAAGUGCACAAUGUGUAGGAUUGUUUUCAGAGUGCUUGUUGGGUGCAAUUUUUAGUUUUCAUCUCA
Diospyros lotus (date-plum) is the source of this 3326-nucleotide RNA transcript. It is a transcript of the gene named protein LNK1-like, with no coding region annotated. Lineage: Eukaryota; Viridiplantae; Streptophyta; Magnoliopsida; Ericales; Ebenaceae. The transcript is spliced from 10 exons. The record is from RefSeq and is a predicted model, not a curated record.